GGGGGGAAUUUGGGGCAUGGGGGGGAACCCUGACCCAGCGACGCCGCGUGAGGGAAGAAGGUCUUCGGAUUGUAAACCUUAAACAACAGGGACGAAGAAGAUGACGGUACCUGUUAGGAAGCCACGGCUAACUACGUGCCAGCAGCCGCGGUAAUACGUAGGUGGCAAGCGUUAUCCGGAUUUACUGGGUGUAAAGGGUGUGUAGGCGGAGAGGCAAGUCAGACGUGAAAACUACGGGCUCAACCCGUAACUUGCGUUUGAAACUGUUUCCCUUGAGUGUCGGAGAGGUAAAUGGAAUUCCCAGUGUAGCGGUGAAAUGCGUAGAUAUUGGGAGGAACACCGGUGGCGAAGGCGGUUUACUGGACGACAACUGACGCUGAGACACGAAAGUGUGGGGAGCAAACAGGAUUAGAUACCCUGGUAGUCCACACCGUAAACGAUGAAUGCUAGGUGUGGGGGCGCAAGCCUCCGUGCCGCAGCUAACGCAAUAAGCAUUCCACCUGGGGAGUACGGCCGCAAGGUUGAAACUCAAAGGAAUUGACGGGAGCCCGCACAAGCAGUGGAGUAUGUGGUUUAAUUCGACGCAACGCGAAGAACCUUACCAGGUCUUGACAUCCCGAGAAGUCGGCGUAAUGGCUGAUGUGCCCUUCGGGGAAUUCGGUGACAGGUGGUGCAUGGUUGUCGUCAGCUCGUGUCGUGAGAUGUUGGGUUAAGUCCCGCAACGAGCGCAACCCUUACGGUCAGUUGCUACGCAAGAGCACUCUGGCCGGACUGCCGUUGACAAAACGGAGGAAGGCGGGGAUGACGUCAAAUCAUCAUGCCCCUUAUGAUCUGGGCUACACACGUACUACAAUGGCGAAU
This 861-nucleotide ribosomal RNA is filed under the name uncultured bacterium. RNAcentral's name for it is "bacterial SSU rRNA". It matches the Rfam family "Bacterial small subunit ribosomal RNA", at positions 354 to 1238 of the family's 1533-position model. The record is from RNAcentral.